This 60-nucleotide microRNA precursor is filed under the name Microcebus murinus (gray mouse lemur). RNAcentral describes it as "microRNA mmr-mir-23b precursor". Its record names the gene mmr-mir-23b. It matches the Rfam family "mir-23 microRNA precursor family", at positions 9 to 65 of the family's 73-position model. The record is from miRBase by way of RNAcentral. Lineage: Eukaryota; Metazoa; Chordata; Mammalia; Primates; Cheirogaleidae.
UUGGGUUCCUGGCAUGCUGAUUUGUGACUUAAGAUUAAAAUCACAUUGCCAGGGAUUACC